This 72-nucleotide transfer RNA is filed under the name Benthodytes marianensis. Its description in RNAcentral is "tRNA-Leu". It matches the Rfam family "tRNA". From Rfam's summary of the family: Transfer RNA (tRNA) molecules are approximately 80 nucleotides in length. Lineage: Eukaryota; Metazoa; Echinodermata; Holothuroidea; Elasipodida; Psychropotidae. The record is from RNAcentral.
GUUUAUAUAGCAAAAUGGUUAAUGCAUCAGACUUAGGAUCUGCUACUAUAAGUUCAAAACUUAUUUUAAACU